AACAAGAUAAAUAGAUAACAAGUAGUGACGCAGUCAGAGAAGUCAAUUUUCAUGGUUCGUGUGAAGACAGACCAAAGUUCUUUGCAGAAGAAUGUCAUCACCACGGCCGCCUCCAACCCUGCAGUGAAAGUGCUCCUUGCAAACUAACCUUAAGAUGACGACGACAACAUUGUGGCUGCUGGCCCUGCUGGUGUGCGGCACGGGAGCUGCACCUCGCCAGCUGGACACAACCUGCACCCCCCUGACAUGCGCAGUCAUCUUGUGUCUCCGCCCAGACUGCCCCCCGCCCUCCGUCCUGGUGACCGGCGGCGACCCAUGCGGGUGUUGUCCUGCGUGUGCACAGCAAGUCGGUGAGGGCGCCUUGUGUGACAGGACUGUCACCACAGACAGCAAGGUGUGCAUGCCCGGCCUGAUCUGUCAUCCCACUUCUCGCACCUGUGUCGCUUCAAGCUAAAAGCAAACAUUCAGCUGAAGUUCGAGGUUCAAGAAUUGCAGGUUACUAAGUAUGACAAGUCACUGCCUUUCAAAUCAAAUGCAUUGGUUUCUCAACUGUGA
RNAcentral lists this long non-coding RNA (555 nucleotides) under Pomacea canaliculata. RNAcentral's name for it is "uncharacterized LOC112556508, transcript variant X3". The record is from RNAcentral. Lineage: Eukaryota; Metazoa; Mollusca; Gastropoda; Architaenioglossa; Ampullariidae.